GCUGUCGUAGCUCAGUGGUAGAGCACUCCCUUGGUAAGGGAGAGGCCGGGAGUUCAAUCCUCCUCGACAGCACCA
RNAcentral lists this transfer RNA (75 nucleotides) under Micavibrio sp. Its description in RNAcentral is "tRNA-Thr". It matches the Rfam family "tRNA". Rfam says of the family: Transfer RNA (tRNA) molecules are approximately 80 nucleotides in length. Their secondary structure includes four short double-helical elements and three loops (D, anti-codon, and T loops). Further hydrogen bonds mediate the characteristic L-shaped molecular structure. tRNAs have two regions of fundamental functional importance: the anti-codon, which is responsible for specific mRNA codon recognition, and the 3' end, to which the tRNAs corresponding amino acid is attached (by aminoacyl-tRNA synthetases). tRNAs cope with the degeneracy of the genetic code in two manners: having more than one tRNA (with a specific anti-codon) for a particular amino acid; and 'wobble' base-pairing, i.e. permitting non-standard base-pairing at the 3rd anti-codon position. The record is from RNAcentral. Lineage: Bacteria; Pseudomonadati; Bdellovibrionota; Bdellovibrionia; Bdellovibrionales; Pseudobdellovibrionaceae.